This 351-nucleotide ribosomal RNA is filed under the name uncultured Acidobacteriota bacterium. RNAcentral's name for it is "bacterial SSU rRNA". It matches the Rfam family "Bacterial small subunit ribosomal RNA", at positions 1030 to 1379 of the family's 1533-position model. The record is from RNAcentral. Lineage: Bacteria; Pseudomonadati; Acidobacteriota.
UCAUCGAGGUGCUGCAUGGCUGUCGUCAGCUCGUGUCGUGAGAUGUUGGGUUAAGUCCCGCAACGAGCGCAACCCUUGUCCGCUGUUGCCAUCAGGUAAUGCUGGGCACUCUGCGGAGACUGCCGGUGAUAAACCGGAGGAAGGUGGGGAUGACGUCAAGUCAGCAUGGCCUUUAUGUCUGGGGCUACACACGUGCUACAAUGGCCGGUACAAACCGUCGCGAUGCCGCAAGGUGGAGCUAAUCGGAGAAAGCCGGUCUCAGUUCGGAUUGCAGGCUGCAAAAAGGCCUGCAUGAAGUUGGAAUCGCUAGUAAUCGCGGAUCAGCACGCCGCGGUGAAUACGUUCCCGGGC